This is an RNA transcript of Dermacentor silvarum, 2967 nucleotides long. It is a transcript of the gene named probable RNA-binding protein 19, with no coding region annotated. The record is from RefSeq and is a predicted model, not a curated record. The transcript is spliced from 28 exons. Lineage: Eukaryota; Metazoa; Arthropoda; Arachnida; Ixodida; Ixodidae.
UAAUCUGCUGGCCUUCAAUAUGUCAGCCCCCUGCUCUUGAGCGUGGCUGAAGCAUGCGGUCUUGUUUUGGUUGAGUAGCGCUGUCACUUCACAUGCGAUAUGUCUCGAAUUGUCGUGAAAAACCUUCCCAAAAAGAUCAAAGAAGACCGACUUCGGGAGUUCUUCUCUACCAAAGGGACGGUGACUGAUCUGCAACUCAAGUUCACGAAAGAAGGUGUCUUCCGACGUUUUGCCUUCGUGGGAUUCAAAGAUGAGGCCCAGGCCGCUGCUGCCAAGGAGUACUUCAACAAUGCGUACCUGGACACUUCCAAGCUUCAGGUGGAGAUUUGCGCUGCCCUGGGUGAUGCCCAGAAGCCUCGCUCGUGGAGCAAGUACUCCGCAGACAGUUCCGCCUACCAACGUCUCCACCCAGAGACGAAAAAGCCCAAGCCAGUCAAGGAGCCGUCACCAAGGAAAAGUUUUGCAGAUGAAUUCUUGAAAGAUCUGGAAGGCAAUGAGGAGUUUGAAGAGUUCCUUCAAGUGCAUGGUACGCACAACAAAGCCACCUGGGACAAUGACACAUGUGCUCCAACUGUUGAUGGAGAUGCCAAGAAAGCCAAGCCAGCCAAGGUUGUGCCGCCUUCUGACUUGGUAGCCAGUGACAAGGAGGACCAUGACGAAGAGGAAGCUGAAGAUGUCUCCAAGGCUCCUGCAAGCAAUGAGACCAAGAAGAGUGACAAGCAGCAGGUUCCGCAGCAAAAACAAAAGCCCAAGCUACCAGUACAAGAGUUUGCGUACACAUUGAAGGUCAAGGGCCUGCCUUACAAGUGCAAAAGGAAACAAAUCAAGGAUUUCUUCAAACCUGCCAAGGUGGCCAGCAUGCGACUUCCACCAAGGGUCAAAGGCAUUGCCUACCUGGGCUUCCAGAAGGAACAGGAUAUGAAGCAAGCACUGAACAAGCACCACAGCUUCAUGGCUGGACACAGGAUAGACGUUACAAAGUAUGCAAAGCAGGUGGUCCCUGAGAAAAAAUGGCGACAGUUUGAAGACUUGGGUAACCCACAGGAGACACUGGCAGAUACGGGGCGCAUUUUCGUUCGGAACCUGUCCUACACAAUUACUGAAGAAGAGCUGGAGGAACUCUUCAGGAAAUAUGGCCCUCUGGAGGAACUGCACCUGUCCAUUGACCGUGUAACGCGCAAGCCCAAAGGAUUUGCCUUUGUCAGCUUUCUCUUUCCCGAGCAUGCAAUCCGGGCCUUCACGGAACUGGAUGGCCAGAUGCUUCAGGGCCGGCUUCUCCAUCUCUUGCCGGCCAAGGCUAAGAAGUCUGAAGAAGAGGAGGGUCAGAGAACAGAGGCCAAGUCUUACAAAGAUAAAAAAGAAGCGGAGCUCAAGAAGUCCAGUGGGAGGAGUCACAAUUGGAACACCCUUUUCUUAGGAGCCAACGCCCUUGCGGAUGUCAUGGCUGAACGUUAUGCCACCUCUAAGCAAGAAUUGCUUGGCACGGAAACGGGUGAGAGCGUGGCUGUGCGCAUGGCCUUGGGUGAAACCCAAGUGGUGGCUGAGACGCGAGAGUUCCUUGAGAGCAAUGGCGUUGUGCUGGACGCGUUCAGCCGGCCAGCCACGGAGCGCAGCAAGACAGUUAUUCUAGUCAAGAACCUCCCAGCCAAGACGCCACCCAAAGACCUCCACAACGUCUUCGGAAAGUUUGGUAUCCUGACCAGAGUGGUCCUCCCACCUUGGGGAGUAACAGCUCUGAUCGAGUUCCAGGAUCCCACCGAAGCACGGGCUGCAUUUCGGCGGCUCGCUUACUCCAAGUUCAAGCAUGUACCCCUGUACCUGGAAUGGGCACCCACUGGUGUGUUUUCUACUGAGAAGAAGAGUGCAGACACAUCAAAGGCCAAGGUGGAUGGGAAGGCAGAAGCUGCAGAGCAGAAGCAUGCUCAGCAACCUGAGGAGGAAGCGGAAGCAGAGGAGGAAGAAACGCCACCGGAGCCAGACACAACCCUGUUUGUCAAGAACCUCAACUUCUCCACCACCGAGCAGACUGUCCGAGAGCAUUUCGAGCAGUGUGGCCCUGUUCACGAAGUCACCAUUGCAAAGAAGAAGGACACCAAAAAUCCAGGCCAGCUUCUGUCCAUGGGCUACGGCUUUGUGCAGUUCAAGCAGCGGCAGGCAGCAAAGCAGGCCCUCAAGCAGCUGCAACACUCCAAGCUGGACGGACAUGCUCUCGAGCUCAAGAUGUCCACGAGGGCCACCACCAAAGAGGAUGUGGCGGCCGCCCAGCGCAAGAAGGUGACGGAUCUGGGCAAGGAGGGCACCAAGAUCCUGGUGCGCAACAUCCCUUUCCAGGCCAACGAGAAGGAGGUGAAGGAGCUAUUCAGUGUGUUUGGAACCCUGCGGUCUGUCCGGUUACCCACAAAGCUGGCUGCUGGUGGUCGUCAUCGUGGUUUUGGCUUUGUUGACUUUCUCACCAAAAAUGAUGCCAAGCGUGCAUUUGAGGCCCUGUGCCACAGCACCCAUCUGUACGGCAGGCGCUUAGCGCUUGAGUGGGCCGCCACGGAUGACCAGGAGGUGGACACGCUGCGCAAGAAGACUGCUGACCACUUCCUUCGGGGCGGUCCUUCGAGCAAACGCCUCAAGAAGUCCGACCUGAUGGCCACGCUGGACGCUUCCGGUCAGCAGCCAGAUGCCGACUGGAACCUCUAGCUUCACCCGAAGGCCUCCUUCCGCUGUACACAACUGUACAAACUGACGCGAACAGGACUUCCUGGCAAAGAUGCCUGGCCGCUGUGCGUGGACUGCGUGUGUCCGCUCGUAUGUCACUGAGUGAUCAUUUGCUGCCACGUAUCGGUGUCAUCGACGCUGCUGGAGCUCGAGUCAAGAUGCCCUUGUGCGACGCAUAUUGCGCUCCGUUCCAUGGCUGCCCCAGCUUAUCUACUCUUCAUUUGUGCGGAGGCACCGGCCAACAGCAAUGAAGAAAAUAAA